RNAcentral lists this ribosomal RNA (274 nucleotides) under uncultured bacterium. RNAcentral's name for it is "partial 16S ribosomal RNA". It matches the Rfam family "Bacterial small subunit ribosomal RNA", at positions 523 to 796 of the family's 1533-position model. The record is from RNAcentral.
AUACGGAGGGCGCGAACGUUGCUCGGAAUCAUUGGGCGUAAAGCGCACGUAGGCGGCCUGAUAAGUCGGAUGUGAAAGCCCACGGCUCAACCGUGGAAGUGCAUUCGAAACUGUCAGGCUUGAGUAUGGGAGAGGGUUGCGGAAUUCCCGGUGUAGAGGUGAAAUUCGUAGAUAUCGGGAGGAACACCAGCGGCGAAGGCGGCAGCCUGGACCAAUACUGACGCUGAGGUGCGAAAGCGUGGGGAGCAAACAGGAUUAGAAACCCCGGUAGUCC